GAUGAACGCUGGCGGUGUGCCUAAUACAUGCAAGUCGAGCGAACAGACGAGGAGCUUACUCCUCUGACGUUAGCGGCGGACGGGUGAGUAACACGUGGAUAAGCUACCUCUAAGACUGGGAGAACUUCGGGAAACCGGAGCUAAUACCGCAUAAUAUGACGAACCGCAGGGUUCAACAGUGAAAGACGGUCUUGCUGUCACUUAUAGAUGGAGCCGCGUCGCAUUAGCUAGUUGGUAAGGUACCGGCUUACCAAGGCAACGAUGCGUAGCCGACCUGAGAGGGUGAUCGGCCACACUGGAACUGAGACACGGUCCAGACUCCUACGGGAGGCAGCAGUAGGGAAUAUUCCGCAAUGGGCGAAAGCCUGACGGAGCAACGCCGCGUGAGUGAAGAAGGUCUUCGGAUCGUAAAACUCUGUUAUUAGGGAAGAACAACUGUGUAAGUAACUCUGCACGUCUUGACGGUACCUAAUCAGAAAGCCACGGCUAACUACGUG
This 497-nucleotide ribosomal RNA is filed under the name uncultured bacterium. RNAcentral describes it as "partial 16S ribosomal RNA". It matches the Rfam family "Bacterial small subunit ribosomal RNA", at positions 28 to 507 of the family's 1533-position model. The record is from RNAcentral.